UACGUAGGGCGCAAGCGUUGUCCGGAAUUAUUGGGCGUAAAGCGCACGUAGGCGGACUCUUAAGUCGGUGGUGAAAUCCUGGAGCUCAACUCCAGAACUGCCUUCGAUACUGAGAGUCUUGAGUCCGGGAGAGGUGAGUGGAACUGCGAGUGUAGAGGUGAAAUUCGUAGAUAUUCGCAAGAACACCAGUGGCGAAGGCGGCUCACUGGUCCGGUACUGACGCUGAGGUGCGAAAGCGUGGGGAGCAAACAGGG
Molecule: ribosomal RNA, 254 nt
Filed under: uncultured bacterium
Lineage: Bacteria
Description: partial 16S ribosomal RNA
Rfam family: Bacterial small subunit ribosomal RNA
Source: RNAcentral